Molecule: long non-coding RNA, 1453 nt
Organism: Trichogramma pretiosum
Lineage: Eukaryota; Metazoa; Arthropoda; Insecta; Hymenoptera; Trichogrammatidae
Exons: 4
Source: RefSeq, a predicted model, not a curated record
UGUUAACUAGUUGUGUCUAAAUGUUGUUAACUAGUUUUGUCUAAAUGUUGUUAACUACUCCUUAAAUCAAAAUACUAUUUCUGAAAUUUGAGUUGAAUUGAAGUAUUAGAUAGAAAAAAAUAAGAAUGAAUGAAUUUUAGCUGAUAAGAAAUGUAUAUAAGCAUUGAAGAUUACUAUAUCUGCCAUUUUUUAUCAAUAAAAAGAGCUAAAAUUUAUCUGGAGUACUUGGCUUCAUAUUAAAUGUUCUACAGACAUUUAAAACAGUAUCAACAGUUGAAAUAAAAAUAUUUGAUAUACAUGGAACAAGUAGCUAGAUAAUAUUCAAACCACUGUGAAAUAUGUUGAUGAAAGAUUUCAAAAAAUCAUCAAGACUUGUAGAAGCAAAAACUCUUUUAGUACUUGAUAAACAUAGUAAACUAGAAGAAAUUGAUAAAAUUACAAUUAACGCAGUGAGUCUUAUUAAGAAUGUUAAAGCAAAUGAAGUGAAACUUAAGGUCAAGCAACUCAUUAUUAAUUGGGAGACACAAAUAGAGAUCUUGUAUUGAAUACCACCACAGAAGAUUUAAAUAAUUCUUCGCAUGAAGUUUAUACUCAAGGAUCAUGUAGCAGAAUUUUAUUCUUUAAAGAGGCUGCUUUGUUGGUUAAUAAUAAAUACAUAUCCUGGAAUGUAAGAAUGAUGGUCUUUGGAAAAAGAGAGCUGUAUAAUGGUAUGCAAAUGGUCUAUAGUUCUGUUUGUAGAUUACGUAUUUUUAUGGAAGAUCUUUUACUUAAACUUGAAGUAUCAACAACGACACCAUUGAAUGGUUCUUCUCGUUGCUGCAAACUUUGAUAAAUAAAUAAUACAAAAAUUUUAACGCAGACGUCCCAUAGAAGAAAAAAAACAUUAAUGAUGCGUUUAAUCAUAGGCUUGAAAAUUCAGUUUUUAGAGAAUCUAAGUCUAGGCUGCAUUUUGACAGGGAUCAUCCCAGAAAAUAUUCUUUGGUCAACCAAAAAAAUUAAAGAUUCAUUCGCUACAAAAUGAGUCUCCAUGAGUAGUGUAGAGUUUACAUUUUGAGUACCUCGCCUCAUGUUUAUAUUACAGAGUUAACAAUUCCAUCUCUAGGAGAAAAUACUGAGUUUUCAUUAAAACAAGAAAGAUAGUAAUUCUUCUCUUUCACUUUUGACAAUUUGUUGGAUGCUACAGAUAAUGUUAAUUUUUUAAUUCUAUGUAUAACAAUAUGUAUGUAGAUGUAUUUUUUAGUGCACAAAAAAUUCGUAUAAAAUUAUGUAUAUUAUUUUGAGUAUGAGCAAACUACAUGAAACUAACAUUAACAAUUCUCAUGCCUUUGCAUGAUUUUUAGUAAAGACAGUUUAGAAAAUUGUCACCAAAACAUGUAUGUAAAAAUAUGAAUUAAUUAAUAGAAGAAUAAAUUGUUGUAUUUAUUACUUUCAUAAAGUAUGCACAUAAUUCACA